Molecule: long non-coding RNA, 719 nt
Organism: Hypanus sabinus (Atlantic stingray)
Lineage: Eukaryota; Metazoa; Chordata; Chondrichthyes; Myliobatiformes; Dasyatidae
Exons: 3
Source: RefSeq, a predicted model, not a curated record
CAAGAACAGAAAUAGACAGUCAACCAUUAAUCACCUCCGCAGCUAAAAAUAAUAAAGGUUGCAUGUACAAGACACUACCAACUCUAACCCAGAACAGGCAAGAAUGGAGAGCACUUGGGUUAACAGCGCAGGACUGGAUUUCUAUUUUCAGAGGGCUGCAGAAUAUGCAGAAGAGGAGAGAGGAGCAGAGCCAAAGAUCUUCUGAGAAUGCAACUUCAAUCUUCAAAGCCAGAAUUUCAAAGCACAAUGAGCAAGAAACAACAGGAACAAAUACAGAACAAAAGUGAGAUGUUGUUCUACUUUGGAUUGAAUGCACAGAUCAACCAUCAAAGUAAAAAGAUGUAGAAAGAGCUGGCUAGGAAUUGACUGACAUCUGUUUAAUUCACCCAAAUUGUAUUCCAGUGCAGAAAGACUUCAUAAGAUCAGCAAAAUGUGAUUGUCUUAAAUGGGAAUUCAUCUUACACAUUCAACAAAGCUUUGCUGAAUUCAAGUUUAUUUAAUCUUCUUUAGUACAAAAGAAAGAACAGCCUGAUUUCAUCACCAUAUGGAAAAAAGUAAUUGUUGUAACAAAUUAACAACACAAUGAUGGUAUUAUCCUUCACACUUGAUACCUAAUUAUGGUAAAUUUUUUUCUCUAUAAUCUUGUCUGCUGAUACAAGUAAACAUGUUAAUGUUUGCACUUGGCUACAUUGUUAUUUUGCUUUGUAAACUGUACUGCA